Hippocampus comes (tiger tail seahorse) is the source of this 852-nucleotide long non-coding RNA. RefSeq lists it as uncharacterized. The transcript is spliced from 3 exons. The record is from RefSeq and is a predicted model, not a curated record. NCBI's taxonomy places the organism in Eukaryota, Metazoa, Chordata, Actinopteri, Syngnathiformes, Syngnathidae.
AAUGACGCUACAAAAAUCCUACUUCGUGUGUUUUCCGUCACCUACGCGUGCCCCCGGGAGCUUCAAAAGUUGAGGUGAAGCCAUGUUGAAUUCUUGAAAAGGCUCGAAUGGCCCUCCACCAAGGCUGGAUGGAGUGUGUGGCCCCGAUGAAUUGCGACCUCUCAGUCUCUCAAGUGAGCUUCAUCUUCAUGUUCCAAGAGGAUGACAUCACCGUUGACCUUCCCGAGCCCAACCCCCACAUUUGUGGCCCCGACCUGCCUCCCUUGUCUGUGGGAACACCAGUUCAUUACGUGGAGAUGAAUUGCCUUAUUGUGAAAAGCUCUGGCGAAGUUGGUGCUGGACAUCGGGGGGAAUCAUUCGGUGACCCAACUUCAGGGGUCAGUACACCCUCUGUUUGGAAAACAUCUCACGGAACGCAUCGCUGGGCUGACUGGCCGGCUGCCCCCCCCCCCCUCCUGUGAGUCGAGGGCCCUCUCGCAGCCACGCCACCGUGAUGAGGGACUGCACUGAUGGGUUUGCAGCACACUAACGCACAACCUCAUGCGCAUUUAGUUGGAUUUUGAUUGGAUAUUUUCAAUGAUCAUAUGACACCUCCCUCCCCCACCCUACCCCAAAAAUGAAAGAAGGCUGUUGAUGGUCAUUUACGGGCAAGCAAAUCAUGAAUUGUUUUGAUGCCCGUGCCUCUAAAAGAUGGAGCCUGGUGAGGUGGAAUGUAUGCGAGUCUAUGUGUGAGAUUCUGGGUGUGAGCUGUGGCUGACAGAAGCUCCUACUUGAGUGUGCUCAUUGUGUCUUUGUGUUUUAGAGUACUCCCGGCAUUCAAUAAAUGGCUGAAUUGUGCACCAGGUUCUUCGG